This 468-nucleotide ribosomal RNA is filed under the name uncultured bacterium. RNAcentral's name for it is "partial 16S ribosomal RNA". It matches the Rfam family "Bacterial small subunit ribosomal RNA", at positions 28 to 507 of the family's 1533-position model. The record is from RNAcentral.
GACGAACGCUGGCGGCGUGCUUAACACAUGCAAGUCGAACGGAAAGGCCCUGCUUUUGUGGGGUGCUCGAGUGGCGAACGGGUGAGUAACACGUGAGUAACCUGCCAUUGACUUUGGGAUAACUUCAGGAAACUGGGGCUAAUACCGGAUAGGAGCUCCUGCUGCAUGGUGGGGGUUGGAAAGUUUCGGCGGUUGGGGAUGGACUCGCGGCCUAUCAGCUUGUUGGUGGGGUAGUGGCUUACCAAGGCUUUGACGGGUAGCCGGCCUGCGAGGGGGACCGGCCACAUUGGGACUGGGAUACGGCCCAGACUCCUAUGGGAGGCAGCAGUGGGGAAUAGUGCACAAUGGGCGGAAGCCUGAUGCAGCAACGCCGCGUGCGGGAUGACGGCCUUCGGGUUGUAAACCGCUUUCGCCUGUGACGAAGCGUGAGUGACGGUAAUGGGUAAAGAAGCACCGGCUAACUACGUG